AAAGGUCCAACGUCAGGGCCACGAUGAAGGAAGAGUUACCUUCAUACAGAUCGGAUAGUCGGCUUCAUGGCUCCGAAAUGUAACCGUUGGA
This 91-nucleotide small RNA is filed under the name Methylobacterium sp. RAS18. RNAcentral describes it as "RNA-1". It matches the Rfam family "Methylobacterium-1 RNA". Lineage: Bacteria; Pseudomonadati; Pseudomonadota; Alphaproteobacteria; Hyphomicrobiales; Methylobacteriaceae. The record is from RNAcentral.